AAGAGCUCAAAUUUGAAAUCUGGCCUCCUCCGGGGCCCGAGUUGUAAUUUGCAGAGGAUGUUUCGGGUUCGGCUGCGGUCUAAGUUCCUUGGAACAGGACGUCCUGGAGGGUGAGAAUCCCGUGUGGGACCGCCGGCCACGCCCAUGUGAAACGCCUUCGACGAGUCGAGUUGUUUGGGAAUGCAGCUCCAAAUGGGUGGUAAAUUUCAUCUAAAGCUAAAUACCGGCCAGAGACCGAUAGCGCACAAGUAGAGUGAUCGAAAGAUGAAAAGCACUUUGGAAAGAGAGUUAAACAGCAUGUGAAAUUGUUGAAAGGGAAGCGCUGGCCACCAGACUUGGCUCCGGGUGCUCAACCGGCGUUCUUCGCCGGCGCACUCGCCCGGAGACAGGCCAGCAUCGGUUCAGGCGGCGGACAAAGGCCCCCGGAAUGUAGCUCCCCACGGGGAGUGUUAUAGCCGGGGGUGCAAUGCGGUCCGCCGGACCGAGGAUCGCGCUUCGGCUCGGAUGCUGGCGUAAUGGUGGUCAGCGGCCCGUCUUGAAACACGGACCAAGGAGUCUAACAUCUACGCGAGUGUUUGGGUGUCAAACCCAUGCGCGGAAUGAAAGUGAACGGAGGUGGGAGCCCCCCGGGGCGCACCAUCGACCGAUCCUGAUGUCUUCGGAUGGAUUUGAGUAAGAGCGUAGCUGUUAGGACCCGAAAGAUGGUGAACUAUGCCUGAAUAGGGUGAAGCCAGAGGAAACUCUGGUGGAGGCUCGCAGCGGUUCUGACGUGCAAAUCGAUCGUCAAAUUUGGGUAUAGGUAAGCAUCUCAUUUCUUUUUGUCAUUUUACCUGCCUAGAGUGAACAUCAUAAUCAUUGUUAUAAUCGACCCGGGGCACAACAGUUAAGGGUAAUAUGAUUGUGUAUUAAAAAUAUCUACUGAGGCCCCUGCAUAAUCUCCGCCUGGUAACAGGACUUGGGGCACAGGCAGGGCCCCGGAAGUCCGGGGGCAUUCCGGCAGGGGAGAAAGCACCCGGGGGCAUCUGUCCAGAUGCACUUUGGCUGCUCCUGCCCCUGGUUGAUAGCCUCCCGGCAACGGAUCCAGCGGUCUUGCCAUAUCAAUGAUUAUGAUGUUUACUCUACGGGUGCCUUCUUCAGUUCAUAACUUGAAUUCCAUGCUAACAUGUCUUUUCUGCAGGGGCGAAAGACUAAUCGAACCAUUGGACGCCGGGGCCGACAGGCCUCCGGCGGGGGUACUCAGCUACUCAGGUGGUUAAGAGACACCGGGGCCACGCGCCGGUGCUAGUUCUCUGCGAGAGCAACACUGUCAAACUGGCGGGGACGCCUCGACGCCGAGGCAAUCCGCAGCCAAACCCUCCGAUCCGGCAGCGCCGCCGGGGGGUGCGGUCCACAGACUAAAGGACAGUGGGUGACCGAGCCCCCGGAACUCCGGGGGCCGGACGCUUAAGAUAUAGCCGGGCCAGCCCGGUGACGGGCUGGGAUCCGGGGAGUUUGCUCCUCGGAGGACCGCUAGUAGCUGGUUCCUGUCGAAGUUUCCCUCAGGAUAGCAGUAACGUUUUCAGUUUUAUGAGGUAAAGCGAAUGAUUAGAGGCCUUGGGGUUGAAACAACCUUAACCUAUUCUCAAACUUUAAAUAUGUAAGAAGUCCUUGUUGCUUCGUUGAACGUGGACAUUUGAAUGCACCGUUACUAGUGGGCCAUUUUUGGUAAGCAGAACUGGCGAUGCGGGAUGAACCGAACGUGAGGUUACGGUGCCGGAAUGCACGCUCAUCAGACACCACAAAAGGUGUUAGUUCAUCUAGACAGCCGGACGGUGGCCAUGGAAGUCGGAACCCGCUAAGGAUCGUGUAACAACUCACCGGCCGAAUGAACUAGCCCUGAAAAUGGAUGGCGCUCAAGCGUGCUACCUAUACCUCGCCGUCGGGGUAGACACGAUGCCCCGACGAGUAGGCAGGCGUGGGGGUCCGUGACGAA
RNAcentral lists this ribosomal RNA (1972 nucleotides) under Chaenothecopsis consociata. Its description in RNAcentral is "partial large subunit ribosomal RNA". It matches the Rfam family "Eukaryotic large subunit ribosomal RNA", at positions 103 to 1407 of the family's 3401-position model. Lineage: Eukaryota; Fungi; Ascomycota; Eurotiomycetes; Mycocaliciales; Mycocaliciaceae. The record is from RNAcentral.